This 217-nucleotide long non-coding RNA is filed under the name Phoenix dactylifera (date palm). RNAcentral's name for it is "long non-coding RNA (PDAC_LNC016018)". Lineage: Eukaryota; Viridiplantae; Streptophyta; Magnoliopsida; Arecales; Arecaceae. The record is from RNAcentral.
UCUAAUGUGUUUGAAAUAUGUGUUUUCAAUCCUAAUAGUUUAAGAUGAGCAACAAAUGAGAAGAUACAUAUCUCAAAUUACAACCUUGAAAGCCUCCUUGAGAAUCUUUAUGAAAUUCAGAAUCUGAUUUUGUAUAAAAGCUUAAACUCAAUAUGAAUUUCUAGAUAAAACUACAGCUUAAGAAAAAUAGAAUAAUUCUGAUGCCUUGAUUGCUUGC